RNAcentral lists this ribosomal RNA (253 nucleotides) under uncultured bacterium. RNAcentral describes it as "partial 16S ribosomal RNA". It matches the Rfam family "Bacterial small subunit ribosomal RNA", at positions 524 to 776 of the family's 1533-position model. The record is from RNAcentral.
UACGAAGGGGGCUAGCGUUGUUCGGAAUUACUGGGCGUAAAGCGCACGUAGGCGGAUAUUUAAGUCAGGGGUGAAGUCCCAGAGCUCAACUCUGGAACUGCCUUUGAUACUGGGUAUCUCGAGUAUGGAAGAGGUAAGUGGAAUUCCGAGUGUAGAGGUGAAAUUCGUAGAUAUUCGGAGGAACACCAGUGGCGAAGGCGGCUUACUGGUCCAUUACUGACGCUGAGGUGCGAAAGCGUGGGGAGCAAACAGG